Bison bison bison is the source of this 107-nucleotide small nuclear RNA. NCBI's taxonomy places the organism in Eukaryota, Metazoa, Chordata, Mammalia, Artiodactyla, Bovidae. The record is from Ensembl.
GUGCUUGCUUUGGCAGCACAUAUACUAAAAUUGGAAUAAUACAGAGAAGAUUAGCAUGGCCCCUGCACAAGGAUGACACACAAAUUCAUGAAGCAUUCCAUAUUUUU